RNAcentral lists this long non-coding RNA (651 nucleotides) under Sus scrofa (pig). RNAcentral describes it as "lncRNA (ENSSSCG00060065455.1)". The record is from RNAcentral. Lineage: Eukaryota; Metazoa; Chordata; Mammalia; Artiodactyla; Suidae.
GGCCCUAAAAAGACCAAAAAAAAAAAAAAAAAAAAAGGGCAGCUGAGUGAUGUCAGGCUGUGGGGUGGUAUUAGGUGGGGUGAGUGCCCUGGCUGAUUUUGAGAAGUUGUACCCCCAUCUGUAGGGCAUUUCAUUGUGCUAUGUUAGAGCACCAUUGACGGGAACACUGAAAGUGCCCACCUGGACCAGGCGGCAUACUAGCUGCUUGCAUGUGUUGUCUCACAGCAGGAGGCCCUGAGAAUCAACAUGUGCUGCCCUGAAGACUAACCAGGAGGAUUUGGGAGGGGCCGCUAGAAGGAAGGAGAUGACCAGCCUCCCAGGAUCCUUGGUGCCGGAGUCCAUCUUGGCUGAGAGGGAAAAACUCAGCCUCCAAGAUCGUCACUGAGUUCCAAAGGAGCUAAACCCCCAACAAAUGGAAAACUGGAGAGGAGGACCACCAGCACCAGUCCUGGGGCUGCCGAACACCAACUUUGAAGAAGAAUGCAAGCUUGCAUCUACCCUGAUCCUUACCUGUGGCCCUAUUUUCUACUGCCACACUGUGUAAAAUCCCUUCCUGAUCUCUCCCAAGGUGGGGCACAGUCUUUAGGGCAUUAGCCUGCUGUGGCCUCCUUUGCUUGGCAAAGCAAUAAAGCUAUUUUUUUUCUCUUUCAC